AUACGAAGGGGGCUAGCGUUGUUCGGAUUUACUGGGCGUAAAGGGUGAGUAGGCGGUUGUAUAAGUCAGAUGUAAAAGGCACAGGCUUAACUUGUGUAAGCAUUUGAAACUGUACAACUUGAGUGCAGGAGAGGUAAGUGGAAUUCCUAGUGUAGCGGUGAAACGCGUAGAUAUUAGGAGGAACACCAGUGGCGAAGGCGACUUACUGGACUGUAACUGACGCUGAGUCACGAAAGCGUGGGUAGC
Molecule: ribosomal RNA, 246 nt
Filed under: uncultured bacterium
Lineage: Bacteria
Description: partial 16S ribosomal RNA
Rfam family: Bacterial small subunit ribosomal RNA
Source: RNAcentral